Molecule: long non-coding RNA, 580 nt
Organism: Bos taurus (domestic cattle)
Lineage: Eukaryota; Metazoa; Chordata; Mammalia; Artiodactyla; Bovidae
Source: Ensembl
UUCUCACUCAUUCAGUGCUUUUUUAAAAUCGAGCCACACCACAUGCCAGCCGCUGUUCUAAGCACCAGGUUGUGAUGAACAAGACAAGCUCCAGCCCUGGAAACACAAGUGGGAGAGAAACCAACGAGCAAGAAGCAAACAGUGGACCCAGAGACAAACAAAGACCUCGCUACCUAAAAGUUAAGCUGUGGCAUCAGAAAGUGCCUUUGUUCUUUGCUCCUGUUCUGCCAAAGUGAGAAAAUGAUGAGAAUCAUGUGACCAAGCAAAGAGAAGGGCAGUGGCCCUCCCCGAGGGAGCAUCACCGUGGCAGGAGCGGAAGAGCCCUGCUAGGAGGACCAGACUCUCCCUACAUCCAUGAGAGUGGUUCCAUGGCUCCUUGGGGUGGGGAAGACAAGUCUUCAGGAAGACUCAGCUCAGGCAUCUUCUGUUUCCUGCCCUUUCUCCGGUGGAAAUGAUGUAUCCCGCUUCCUGUCACCCACCCGCGCCUGCCCGCAUCCUUGAUAGGGACAGGGAGGAGAGAGACAAACCAAGCGAAGCCAGUAAGCCUUAAAUCUCACUGGCAAAGAUGAAAUAUUAUGCA